CCUCGCCUGCGGUCCUGCUGGGGAUGUUGGGCACCCAGACCCUUUCCCGGAGGACUGCCCCAUCGUUACUGAGGAGUGAUGACACUAAAAGGCCGAAUUGCAGUGUGUCCCUUGGCAGUUGGCUCUCUGUGGGUACACGAUGACAAAACCUCCUGAAGCGAACCUCUGGUCUGACCUCAGUAAUGUCGGGGCACGGUUUCCAAAAUGGGCUUUUCCAGCAAGCUCAGACAUUGUUAAGAAGAGAUGAUUGGUGAACCCUGGGCAACUUUGGGGCUUCAGCAUGCAAUAAGCACCUUUCUACAUGUUUUAUGAUAUACUUGCUACAUCAAAGACUAGUGACAAGAAUCAUGAAAACAAUAAUAAUAGUAAUAGACCAUAAUGGUAAAGAAUUCACAUGACACAAGGGGCAUGGGUUCGCUCCUUGCCUGGGUCGGGAAGAUCCCCCGGAGGAGGAAAUGGCAACCCACUCCAGUACUCUUGCCUGGAAAACUCCAUGGACUGAGGAGCCUGGCGGCUGCAGUCCACGGAGUCGCAGAGUCAGACAUCCCUGAGCGCAGAAGCACACAAGACAUUCAAGAACCAGGCUGUUCUCACUGGGACAAAAUGCCCAACACAACCAGAUGCCCCGGUGAUUUGAAGAUAUUAAAGCUAGAAAUUGGAACUGAAAGUCCAGAGAAUUCAAGACGUGGUUUUUAAAAAACAUGAACUCAUCUAAUUAAACUUAAAAGUUGAUGCAGUUAUCAAAUCCCAGGACUAUAGUUCCUUUUAUUUCAGGUAAACUUUCUUCUACUUUUAAACAUGUUUAACGAAGAACUUUUUGCUGGUGUUGUAAAUCUAUCUGGGUUUUUUUUUCUCCUCCCAUAAAAUGUUCUCUAAAUAUAA
Long non-coding RNA from Dama dama (fallow deer), 882 nucleotides. RefSeq lists it as uncharacterized. The transcript has 2 exons. The record is from RefSeq and is a predicted model, not a curated record. NCBI's taxonomy places the organism in Eukaryota, Metazoa, Chordata, Mammalia, Artiodactyla, Cervidae.